Molecule: long non-coding RNA, 2446 nt
Organism: Syzygium oleosum
Lineage: Eukaryota; Viridiplantae; Streptophyta; Magnoliopsida; Myrtales; Myrtaceae
Exons: 2
Source: RefSeq, a predicted model, not a curated record
CUUCUUCUUUCUUCUUCAUUUUGGAUGGAUCGUGGCCGCGCAAGAGGAAAAUCGGCUCGACUUCCUACGAUUCUUCGAUAAGAUCAUCCCCGAGGCAAGUAGAUUCUAAUUCCUCGACUUCGCAUUCGUCUUUUCACCCGAGAUAAAUGGUUUUUGGCCUUUUAUGAAAGGUUUUGGGUCUCGAGUUGAAAAGUUCGGAAAGUCUUUGACUUUUUGGUUUCCUGAGGACGUACGGGUGUCGGGAUAUCGUGUGAUGGUGACGGAUCAUUGAAAACGAGCUUGGAUGGCUCGAACGAGACGUGUUAAGGUUAUGUGUAAGUUGGAUGAUGAAAUUUUUACUAUGUUCGUUUGAUUUUCUAGUCGUUUUUGGUGUUGUUCAAGUGUCGGGAUGACACAUGGUGAGUUUGAAUGGUUUUAAGGAGUCGAUAAGGGCAGUCGUGGUUUGCGUUGAGCCGAACCACUUAACGGCGCGUGGUGGCCACGGAAUAGAAAGUAGCACGGGGGUGGCUCACGGUGCGGGAUGGAGGUGUGAGGAACGCCUAUGUCGUAGGCCGACGUUGGUGGUGACUGAGCCCAUGGAUGGCGACGACGUGGUCUCGCGUCAGCUAAUCGUGUGAUGAAGGAUAGUUUAUAUGAGAUGGUGAUUUUGUGCACGAUGUUGUUAUAUUGCCUGCGCUUUGGAUAGUAUCGUUGGUGUCUCGUUGGUUUAAUAUGCCCCAUAUAUGGAUUGUUAUUCACAUGCUUCUGUUAGAAUCAUUUGCACUCAUCAUAUCAUAAUUGUGUGAUAAUGGAUAGUGAGGGUCGUCAGACGGGGGAUUCCUGACGAUGCCUUAUGUGCAUUGCUUCAUGUGCAUCAUGUGAAAAUGAAUGGUGAGGACCAUCGGUCUACGCGCCGAUGAUGCCCCACGGGAGUAUCGGGAUGCCCAAGUACGAAAGGCUUGGAUGCCGUCGGUCUGCGCGCUGACGAUGUCUCGGAGUGAGAUGCCUGUGAUUGGUAUACCAUGGAAGUCCGGUUUGCGCGCUGGAAGUUACCCGCACAGGUCGGUCUGCACGCCGAUGUAACCGUGGUACGGGGGUGGAUAUUUGAUGAGAGAACUGGAAUAAUAACUGGCAUAUAACAUGCACUGCACCCAUUUUAUUGCAUUUGCAUCAUUCCUCUCAUAAAUGAUGUUUACAUCUUGUGGUGAUUUGAUGAUUCGUGUUGUCGAUGUUUUAGAUAUCUUUUUGCUAAGCUUUAUGCUUGCUCCCGUGGUUAUUUAUCUUUUCAGAUUAGUAGAUAUGCCAUCCGUUCCUCCCGCUAUCUAUAGCGCUCGUUAUGGAGCCCCUGUUGAUUUUACGUUCCAUUGGGAGGACGUGACCUUUCCUGAGUUUCCGAAUGUUGUUUUUGUGAGGUUUGUGUCCACGCUGUGGGUUUGAUGUAGGCUUUGCGCCAAGGUUAGAUUCAUACCGUUUCGUUGCGUUGUAUAUCCGCUGCCAGGGACAGCUUUGGGGGCCGCUUCCAUUUCUGGAUAUUGACUCAAACUCAGGGUCGGACAGCGAUCCUAAUAUGGAGGAGUAGUUGGGUGACCAGAUGGACGACUUUUUGAGUGUGUCUUAGGCGCUUGGGGAGCCGGUCGUGCCGAAUAUGGGCUAGGAAAGGAGAAAGCAGUGGAGGCUGCGUUAGAGUGUUCCGCGUAUCUCGAGAAGCAGAUCGAGGGGAAGAAGUCUUCGCGGGAGAGAAGAUAGGCUAUUUGGAUCCCGCAUUGGCUCGGCGUCAUGGAAGAAGCUGGAGGCAUGAAUAUACUUGAUGCUGAGAAGUUCCCAUCCCUUCAUGAAUGGGCACAAAACUUCAUUGAAAUUCUGCCGAUUACUGAAUGUGUUCCACCUAGAGAUAUGCUGGUUAACUGUGCCACUGCUCUCCUGAGCUACCUGCGUUCCUCAGCACCACACAAGCCAUAAAGGAAGUGUUGCUCGUGCUCGUCUCCCCUCUUUUCCUCUCUUAUACUUGUAACCUUCUGAUGUGGCGCAAGAAUAUACUUAUUCUGUUCUGACCUUAAUCAGUGCCGAGUCCUCUAAAUAACCAAAACCAACAUCUUCACUGCCUCCCCCUGCUUCUGCCAGUCUAACGUUGAAGCCAUGGCUUUGAUUUGGUUUAGUAAGAUUGCUAAGUUCUUUUGCGCAGAUGUAUCACUAUCGAGAGGGCAGGUGUGACAUGAAGGUUGAAUUAGUUCUCAGAUGAAAAAAGAUUGAAUUAGUUAUCGUGUGGUGUCAUUGAAUUCGCUAUGACUUGUAGGUUCUCGAUGUGAUGAAAUAGAAUAUGUAGCUCCAAAGCUCAAAACCAGAUGCUUGUUAAACUUGCAGCAUACAAAGCACUUGAAUUGAGGGUUUUGAUCAUGUCAAAGUGCAAUUGGGAGAUACUGAGAUAUGGGAUUGGAUAAUUGUUGCAGAUAACUAUUUGCUGCUCUAA